Molecule: long non-coding RNA, 3396 nt
Organism: Cavia porcellus (domestic guinea pig)
Lineage: Eukaryota; Metazoa; Chordata; Mammalia; Rodentia; Caviidae
Exons: 2
Source: RefSeq, a predicted model, not a curated record
UUUUUUUUUUUUUUUUUUUUUUUUUUUUUUUUUGUCUUUUUCGUUUUUAUCGGUACCAGGGAUCGAACUCACGACUGCCUGCUUGCAAGGCAGGCGCUUAUGCCGCUGAGCUAAAUCCCCAGCCCCGAGACAAGGUUUUAACUAGUCCAAACUGGCCUUGAGUUUGUGAUCCUCCUGCCUCAGCCUCCUAAGUGCUGGGAUUACAAGUAUGUGCUACCAUGACCAGCCUAGGUGGUACCAUUUUGCUUAGUCCAAAAUAUUUGUAUUCUAAAGGAGGGUCUACGAUAAGAGGGUGAUCACACAGAACCUGGUGGUACACACCUGUGACCCUGGCACUUGGGAGGCCAAGGCAGGAGAUUGCCCUGAGUUUAAGGCCAGCCUGGGUUACAUAGGAAAACUCCCUCAAAAAAUCAUAAAGGGGAUUGGUAAAAAUAUAUGGUGAGCUGGGCAUGGUGGCACAUGCCCAUAAUCCCAGCAUUCAGAAGACUGAGGCAGGAGGAUCUUCUGAGUUCGAGACCAGCCUGAACUGCAUACUGAGAGUCUGUCUCAAAAAGAUUUAAAAGUGGGGGGGGGGGGCGUUUGCAUUUUUUUUUUUUUUUUUUUUUUUUUGGUCUUUUUCCUUUUUAUUGGUACCAGGGAUCGAACUCAUGACUGCCUGCUUGCAAGGCAGGCACUUAUGCCGCUGAGCUAAAUCCCCAGCCCCCAGUGUUUGCAUUUUUAAACAUUUAUUACAAGAAAGGACACAUUGUCAUUAAUCCUCAAAAUAUCAAAAUAUUCCCCCCUCGCUUGAGAUAUAUCCGUCCCACCGUUUUUACCACUUUGUGAAGCAGCUCUGGGAGUCCUCUUUCUUGAGGGUCUUUACUGGGUCUUUUGUGAGAGCAAAAUGCAGUCGCUGCCAGGUGUCACCCAGUGGAGAGGCGGGCUCAGGAGACCAUUAGCAGUCCUCUGCCAAUGGAUUCACCAGAUACCCUGUGACCUCUUGACUACUCUGAAGUCCAGAGGACCACGAAAGGAGGACAUUUUCAGUGGAUUCAGGACAUCCAGGCAGCAGCCACGGUGCCACAGAACGGCUUCCAGGCCGGGGUUUAGCCCAGCAGCAUAAACGCCUGCUUGGCAAGCACAAGGGUCGUGAGUUCUGAUCCCUGGUACAAAAAAGAAAAAAGAGUUUCCAGAGCGUGUUCAAAGCCAGGGGGAGGGUCUGGAGAGGGAUCCAAUCACAUUUCAUAGUGUUUUUAUUGUAUUCUUAGAUGGUAGCAACCAAAAAAAUGAGAAAUAAAAGAAUAAGUAAAUAACACCUGUCUGGUUGGUUCCAUGACUGUCUACACACACCUUACUGUUAUGUGUACCUCAGUGGCAGUGUACAUGUAUUACUUGUAUCUGCUGGACAAUGAAGCCAGGACCUUUACACUGAGCUACAUCCCCAGCCCUUUUUCCUGUUGUUUUUUGAGACAGGAUGAAGUGCAGGCUGACCUUGAAGUCGAUAUUUAGCCCCAGGCUGGCCCCUAACUCCUACUGACCCUCCUGUCUCAGCCUCCAGAUCCCUGGGACGACUUUGCCAGCGUGGCUGGCUCUGAUAGAUGUCUCACUAAAUUACUAAGCACAGCCACAAUGACUGGGAAGCCUUGGAACACCCACUCCGUGUUCCCACUCUCCUGUCCAGGUCAGGAUUUCCCACUUGGAAGGGAGUUUCACUUGCUCCUGGCCAGCAACCAAGACAAAAGUCAGGCCCAAGAGGGAAGGGCCUUCCUGUGCGCCAAGAGAGGGAAGAGGCGGACAAGGGAGGCUUCUUCCCAGGGUCUUUUAGGAAGUGUUAAAGGGCAGCAAUGACCUGGACCCUGGACACUUGUCAGGCCCUGCCCUUGGGAAGGCACCUCCCACAAGCAAGGUACCACCAAAUCUUGUUCUGGGCUAUAGUGCAGUGGUGCCUGUCUAGCAGGCUAGAGGCCCUGGGUUCCAUCCCGGGCACCACAGGAUGAAAAAUUUUAAAAAGAAAAUCAGAGCAGGAUGUUAUGGCCCACACCUAUAAUCCUAGCACUCGAGUAGCUGAGGCAGGAGGAUCCCUAAUGAGUUCAGACCAGCCUGGGUUACAGAGUGAGCGUGAGUUACAGAAAGACCUUGUCUCAAAAACAUAAAACAAAGUGAGACUGAUGGUCCAGGCAGGCAGCCCCAGCAGGAAGCAAAGCAAAGUUUUGGUCAGGGUGCUGGGUUGUCAGGGAAGCAGUUCCAGCUGGUGCACUCCUGCCCUCUGCCUGCUGCCUGUGGAAACCAGCCAGCCGUCACCUGCUGCUCCCUUGAGCCUACCUCGACGGCCUCCGCCCUUCUCAGAGUCCAGGUCUUUCCAUGGCAGGUGGCGCCCUGGUCCCCAGGUCCUUUAUACAACCCCUGGCUUGUGACUUCUAAGAGUAAACAAGCACCACUGCAAAGCCCUCGGGCCAGGGCAGGGGCAGUUCCCUCCAUCAUUUCUUGGUUCGAUUUUUUGAGUUAGGCUCUCGGGCUGUCCUGGAACUCAGGGUGAUCCUCCUGCCUCAGCCUCCCAGAGCGCUGGGAUGUCAGGUGUGCGCCACCACACCUAGCUUUCUACUUAUGAUUUCUGCAGCAUCUCCUGCACGCUGAGUCCCCGAGGAGACCAGAAGAGCUCGGCCUGGGCUUCCUAGGGGAGGUCCAAACUAGCGGCUCCCAGUUAUUUUUAAUUUUGAGACAGGGGCUUGCCGUAUUGUUCAGUGCCGCACACUAGGGUUGGAUUUGUGAUGAAUCUUCCUGCCUCAGCCUGCCAGAGUGCUGGGAUUAUCUGCAUGCAUCACCAGCUCUGCCUCUGACCUCUUUCCAUGUCAGCAUCUACUACAGUGCGAAAACACCAUACCAGCGAAGUGUGAAAUCUGUGUACAGCGGACUGAUUUUCCUUUAAGUCAAGCCCGAGCUGGACUCCCAGAUAACACGUGGUUUGCAGCGCAUGUGUGUGUGUGUGUGUGUGUGUGUGUGUGUGUGUGUGUGUGUCUGCACGUGCGCUGCACUGCUGGGUGUGGCAACUGACUCUAAUCCGACCGAGUUAAAGUACAGCACGUGCCCGAGAGGUCCAAGCCGUGCCAGGGUCACACGCGGUUUGAACGUGUGCACUUGGCUUGCAGUCCCUGCUCUGCUACCUGCUCUCCGUGUGACCCAGGGAAGUGGCCGAACCUCUGCAGGCCUGUUUUUCCAUCUGUCCCGACAGCCUAAUAAUAGUCCUUACAUCACUGGGCAGCCAGAGGGAGUGAAUAAGACAAGCCGAUAAAACGCUUGACAUUAAACACUCAAUAAAUAUCAACUGCAAAGUAAAUCCCGAGCUUUCAAUAAAUACUGGCCAUUGCCAUUCAGGUCCACAGGCCUGGACCUGACUGGAUAUUCACAAAGCCCUGAAAA